UACGGAGGAUGCGAGCGUUAUCCGGAUUUAUUGGGCGUAAAGCGAGCGCAGGUGGUUUAUUAAGUCUGGUGUAAAGGGCAGUGGCUCAACCAUUGUAUGCAUUGGAAACUGGUAGACUUGAGUGCAGGAGAGGAGAGUGGAAUUCCAUGUGUAGCGGUGAAAUGCGUAGAUAUAUGGAGGAACACCGGUGGCGAAAGCGGCUCUCUGGCCUGUAACUGACACUGAGGCUCGAAAGCGUGGGGAGCAAACAGG
This 252-nucleotide ribosomal RNA is filed under the name uncultured bacterium. RNAcentral's name for it is "partial 16S ribosomal RNA". It matches the Rfam family "Bacterial small subunit ribosomal RNA", at positions 524 to 776 of the family's 1533-position model. The record is from RNAcentral.